This 188-nucleotide long non-coding RNA is filed under the name Fukomys damarensis (Damara mole-rat). RNAcentral's name for it is "lncRNA (ENSFDAG00000030024.1)". The record is from RNAcentral. Lineage: Eukaryota; Metazoa; Chordata; Mammalia; Rodentia; Bathyergidae.
UUUUAUUCUACCUACUUCUGAAGAUGGAUAAAAAUCUGUUCCAUUUAAGUAAAAGGGGAAGUGUGGGCGGAUUCCACGUGUAUCCCGAGCAAAAGCUGUCUGGAAGGGAUGUUAGAGGGGAGCUCUUUAUUCUGCAUCAAGGCAGGAUCCAGGAAAUAGGGGCAGGAUGUCUGUGUCACCAAAGCUAG